This 1378-nucleotide ribosomal RNA is filed under the name Propsilocerus paradoxus. Its description in RNAcentral is "16S ribosomal RNA". Lineage: Eukaryota; Metazoa; Arthropoda; Insecta; Diptera; Chironomidae. The record is from RNAcentral.
UUAAUAUUUAUUUAUUAAAAUUUAUUUGUUUAGAAAUUUUAAUUUUAAAAAUAAUUUUAAGGUUAUUUUUACUGUUUAAGUAUUGUAUAAAGAAAAAAUAAUUUUUAUAAUAGUUUAUUUGUAUUGUAUAAGAAAAUUGAAAUAAUUUGAAAAAUUUUUAUUUUUAAAGAAAAAUUUAUUUUUUGUACCUUGUGUAUCAGGGUUAAUUAAUUAAAUUAUAAAAUUUUAUAUUUCUCGAUUUUAAGAGAUCUAAUAAAUUAAUUUAUUUAUUGUAGAAUAAAUAUUAAUAAUAAUUUAUUAGAAAUAAAACGUUAUUCGUUCUUAAAUAUAUCUAGUUUUUUAAGAAAAAAAUUUAAUUUUAAUAUAAAAAAUUAUUGAUUUAAUUUUUUUAAUUCGAUAAAUUUUUUAUAUAAAUAUUUUAAGGGAUGAGCUUUAAAAUAAAUAAUUAUAUUUUAAAAAUAUUUUUUUAAAAAAGUAAGCUUAUAAAUAGUUAUCUUUAAAAAUUAUGUUAUAAUUUAUUAAAAAUAUAAAAUAUUUAGUUGAAAAUUAAUUUUUUAUUAAAAUAUUUAUUGUAAUAAAACAAAUAAAGAAAUAAUGAUUAAAUUAGUAAAUAUUAUAGUUUGUUUAAUAAAAUAAAAUUUGAAAGGUUUAUUUAAAUUAAUUCGACAAAUUUAUAUACUCACCUGUUUAUCAAAAACAUGUCUUUUUAGAUAAUUUUUAAAAAGUCUAACCUGCCCACUGAGAAUUUUAAAUUAAAGGGCCGCGGUAUUUUGACCGUGCAAAGGUAGCAUAAUCAUUAGUCUUUUAAUUGAAGGCUCGUAUGAAUGGUUGAAUGAAGUAUAUGUUGUAUCUAAAAAAUUUAUAUUUGAAUUUUAUAUUUUAAUUAAAAUGUUAAAAUGAGAUUAAAAGACGAGAAGACCCUAUAAAUCUUUAUAAUUUUCUGAAUUUAAUUUAUACAGAAAACUUAAAAUUUUAUUUCUUAAAAUUAUUUUAUUGGGGUGAUAUUAAGAUUUAAUUAACUCUUAAAAAAUUUAAACAUUUAUAUAUGGUUUAUUGAUCCAUUUUUAUGAUUAAAAAAUUAAGUUACUUUAGGGAUAACAGCGUAAUUUUUUUAGAGAGUUCAUAUCGAUAAAAAAGAUUGCGACCUCGAUGUUGGACUAAGAAUUAUUUUAGGUGUAGAAGUUUAAAAUUUAGGUCUGUUCGACCUUUGAAUUCUUACAUGAUCUGAGUUCAGACCGGCGUAAGCCAGGUUGGUUUCUAUCUUUAAUAAAUUAAAAUAUUUUAGUACGAAAGGACCAAAUAUUUAAAUUGUAAUUUUAAAAAUAAUGAGAAAAAUUAAUUUAAAUUAAAAAUUUUAAAAUAUUUUUGAAUAAAAUAG